This 396-nucleotide ribosomal RNA is filed under the name uncultured bacterium. RNAcentral describes it as "partial 16S ribosomal RNA". It matches the Rfam family "Bacterial small subunit ribosomal RNA", at positions 523 to 918 of the family's 1533-position model. The record is from RNAcentral.
AUACGUAGGGGGCGAGCGUUGUCCGGAAUGAUUGGGCGUAAAGGGCGCGUAGGCGGCCCGGUAAGUCUGGAGUGAAAGUCCUGUUUUUAAGAUGGGAAUUGCUUUGGAUGCUGUCGGGCUUGAGUGCAGGAGAGGUAAGUGGAAUUCCCAGUGUAGCGGUGAAAUGCGUAGAGAUUGGGAGGAACACCAGUGGCGAAGGCGACUUACUGGACUGUAACUGACGCUGAGGCGCGAAAGUGUGGGGAGCAAACAGGAUUAGAUACCCUGGUAGUCCACACUGUAAACGAUGAAUGCUAGGUGUAGGGGGUAUCGACCCCUCUGUGCCGCAGUCAACACAAUAAGCAUUCCGCCUGGGGAGUACGGCCGCAAGGUUGAAACUCAAAGGAAUUGACGGGG